Molecule: small RNA, 277 nt
Filed under: Histoplasma capsulatum var. duboisii H88
Lineage: Eukaryota; Fungi; Ascomycota; Eurotiomycetes; Onygenales; Ajellomycetaceae
Description: Histoplasma capsulatum H88 hypothetical RNA
Source: RNAcentral
CCGGCCGCCAGUGUAGGAAACGAAGACUGACAGGGAGCCGACUUUGGCGUCAUUGCAUGUCCUGUGGAGUGUUGUGCACAAUUACGAGGCGGCAAAUCAAGGCUGGGAUGUCCAGCGGAUUGCGGUGUCCGUAACGAUUUGGAUGCAAGAUGGUUCCAAAGGGAAUGGCGAGUCAAAUAACAAGCGGCCGACGGCUGACGUAUCAUUGUAAAAUCCCUCAGAAUGUCCACUUGGUGAAGGAGAUAUGAGUAAUGUUGCGGGAGGGAAAGUCAACAGC